GUAGGGUCGACGUUGCCGGAAUAUGGGCGUAAAGAGCUCGUAGGCGGUUUGUCACGUCGGCCGUAAAAACUGGAGCUUAACCUCCAGCUUGCGGUCGAUACGGGCAGACUUGAGUUCGGUAGGGGAGACUGGAAUUCCUGGUGUAGCGGUGGAAUGCGCAGAUAUCAGGAGGAACACCGGUGGCGAAGGCGGGUCUCUGGGCCCGAUACUGACGCUGAGGAGCGAAAGCGUGGGGAGCGAACAGGAUUAGAUACCCUGGUAGUCCACGCUGUAAACGUUGGGCGCUAGGUGUGGGCGACUUCCACGUUGUCCGUGCCGUMKAACGCAUUAAGCGCCCGCC
This 340-nucleotide ribosomal RNA is filed under the name uncultured bacterium. RNAcentral's name for it is "bacterial SSU rRNA". It matches the Rfam family "Bacterial small subunit ribosomal RNA", at positions 529 to 873 of the family's 1533-position model. The record is from RNAcentral.